RNAcentral lists this ribosomal RNA (377 nucleotides) under uncultured eukaryote. RNAcentral's name for it is "partial 18S ribosomal RNA". It matches the Rfam family "Eukaryotic small subunit ribosomal RNA", at positions 592 to 976 of the family's 1831-position model. The record is from RNAcentral.
CAAUAGCGUAUAUUUAAGUUGCUGCAGUUAAAAAGCUCGUAGUUGGAUUUCGGGUGGGAAUGGCCGGUCCGCCGUUUCGGUGUGCACUUGCUACGCCCACCUUGCUGCCGGGGACGUGCUCUUGAGUUCACGCUCGGGACACGGAGUCGGCGAGGUUACUUUGAGUAAAUUAGAGUGUUCAAAGCAGGCCUACGCUCUGAAUACAUUAGCAUGGAAUAACACGAUAGGACUCUGGCCUAUCUUGUUGGUCUGUAGGACCGGAGUAAUGAUUAAGAGGGACAGUCGGGGGCAUUCGUAUUUCAUUGUCAGAGGUGAAAUUCUUGGAUUUAUGAAAGACGAACUACUGCGAAAGCAUUUGCCAAGGAUGCCUUCAUUAA